This 24-nucleotide microRNA is filed under the name Brachypodium distachyon (stiff brome). RNAcentral describes it as "bdi-miR7786-3p". Lineage: Eukaryota; Viridiplantae; Streptophyta; Magnoliopsida; Poales; Poaceae. The record is from miRBase by way of RNAcentral.
UGCACAAACUGUGGAGUAGUCGGC